AGUUUGAUUAUGGCUCAGAUUGGAACGCUGGCGGGAUGCUUUACACAUGCAAGUCGAACGGCAGCACGGACUUCGGUCUGGGUGGUGAGUGGCGAACGGGUGAGUAAUGUAUCGGAACGUGCUCAGUAGCGGGGGGAUAACUACGCCGAAAAGCGUAGCCACAUCGCAUACGCCCUUCGGGAAAGCGGGACUCGGGCUUCGCACCAUUAGAGCGGCCGAUAUCGGAUUAGCUAGUUGGUGGGGUAACGGCUCACUGACAGAUGAUCCGUAGCUGGUUUGAGAGGACGACCAGCCACACUGGGACUGAGACACGGCCCAGACUCCUACGGAGGCAGCAGUGGGGAAUUUUGGACAAUGGGGAACCCUGAUCCAGCCAUCCCGCGUGUGCGAUGAAGGCCUUCGGGUUGCAAAGCACUUCUUUGGCAGGAAAGAAACGGCACGGGAUAACACUCCCGUGCAACUGAUGGUACUCGCAGAAUAAGCACCGGCUAACUACGUGCCAGCAGCCGCGGUAAUACGUAGGGUGCAAGCGUUAAUCGGAAUUACUGGCGUAAAGGUGGCAGGCGGUUCGGAAAGAAAGACGCCAAAUCCCCAGAGCUUAACUAACCGUAUUUUUAACUACCGAGCUAGCGCCAGAUAGAGGUGAAUUCCGCGUGUAGCAGUGAAAUGCGUAGAUAUGCGGAGGAACACCGAUGCAGCGGUAGCCUCCUGGGAUAACACUGACGCUCAUGCACGAAAGCGUGGGGAGCAAAACAGGAUUAGAUACCCUGGUAGUCCACGCUCCUAAAACGAUGUCAAUCUGAAUGUCAGUAUUCUCGGGCCUGGUAGCGCAGCUAACGCGAAGUCGACCGCCUGGGGAGUACGGUCAUGGUGAUCCAAAACUCAAAGAAUUGACGGGGACUCCGCACAAGCGGUGGAUGAUGAUUAAUUCGAUGCAAAUCGAAACCUUACCUACCCUUGAUACGUCCGAACCCGAAGAUGAUUUGGGAGUGCUCACAAGAGAAAUCCGGAACAUGAGUGAAGCGCAUGUGGCGGCUGUCGUCAGCUCGGGUGUCGAGAUGUUGGGUUGUCCUGCAACGAGCGCAAUCCCUUGUCAUUAUUGCUACGAAAGGGCACUCUAAUGAGAUCCGCCGGUGACAAACCGGAGAAAUGGAUGACGUCAAGUCUCGCGGUCUUUGCGGUGUUUUCACGUCAUACGGCCGUCGGGACAGAAGGGUCGCUAACCCGCUGAUAAGGGAGCCAAUCCCAGAAACCCGAUCGUAGUCCGGAUCGCAGUCUGCAACUCGACUGCGUGAAGUCGGAAUCGCUAGUAAUCGCGAUCAGCAUGUCGCGGUGAAUACGUUCCCUUUCAGUCUUGUACACACCGCCCGUCACACCAAGCGGGGAGUGGGUUUUACCAGAAGUAGUUAGUCAGCCUAACCGCGCUAUGGGCGAUUACCACGGUAUCUGCAUAUCGGGGUGAAGUCGUAUAC
RNAcentral lists this ribosomal RNA (1472 nucleotides) under uncultured Bordetella sp. Its description in RNAcentral is "partial 16S-23S ribosomal RNA intergenic spacer". It matches the Rfam family "Bacterial small subunit ribosomal RNA". Lineage: Bacteria; Pseudomonadati; Pseudomonadota; Betaproteobacteria; Burkholderiales; Alcaligenaceae. The record is from RNAcentral.